UACGGAGGGUGCAAGCGUUGUUCGGAAUCAUUGGGCGUAAAGGGCGCGUAGGCGGACCUGCAAGUCGAUUGUGAAAGCCCUGGGCUUAACCCGGGAAUUGCAGUCGAAACUGCUGGUCUUGAAUGCUCGAGAGGAUGGUGGAAUUCCUGGUGUAGAAGUGAAAUUCGUAGAUAUCAGGAGGAACACCGGAGGCGAAGGCGGCCAUCUGGCGAGACAUUGACGCUGAGGCGCGAAAGCGUGGGGAUCAAACAG
This 252-nucleotide ribosomal RNA is filed under the name uncultured bacterium. RNAcentral's name for it is "partial 16S ribosomal RNA". It matches the Rfam family "Bacterial small subunit ribosomal RNA", at positions 524 to 775 of the family's 1533-position model. The record is from RNAcentral.